This 71-nucleotide transfer RNA is filed under the name Planctomycetaceae bacterium. RNAcentral's name for it is "tRNA-Gly". It matches the Rfam family "tRNA". Rfam says of the family: Transfer RNA (tRNA) molecules are approximately 80 nucleotides in length. Their secondary structure includes four short double-helical elements and three loops (D, anti-codon, and T loops). Further hydrogen bonds mediate the characteristic L-shaped molecular structure. tRNAs have two regions of fundamental functional importance: the anti-codon, which is responsible for specific mRNA codon recognition, and the 3' end, to which the tRNAs corresponding amino acid is attached (by aminoacyl-tRNA synthetases). tRNAs cope with the degeneracy of the genetic code in two manners: having more than one tRNA (with a specific anti-codon) for a particular amino acid; and 'wobble' base-pairing, i.e. permitting non-standard base-pairing at the 3rd anti-codon position. The record is from RNAcentral. Lineage: Bacteria; Pseudomonadati; Planctomycetota; Planctomycetia; Planctomycetales; Planctomycetaceae.
GCGUUCAUGGCGUAACGGUAGCGUACUUGCUUGCCAUGCAGGAGGUGCGGGUUCAACUCCCGCUGAACGCU